This 915-nucleotide ribosomal RNA is filed under the name Laccaria sp. HKAS 53725. RNAcentral's name for it is "eukaryotic LSU rRNA". It matches the Rfam family "Eukaryotic large subunit ribosomal RNA", at positions 36 to 941 of the family's 3401-position model. Lineage: Eukaryota; Fungi; Basidiomycota; Agaricomycetes; Agaricales; Hydnangiaceae. The record is from RNAcentral.
UAGCAUAUCAUAGCGAGGAAAAGAAACUACAGGAUUCCCCUAGUAACUGCGAGUGAAGCGGGAAAAGCUCAAAUUUAAAAUCUGGCAGUCUUUGGCUGUCCGAGUUGUAAUCUAGAGAAGCAUUAUCCGCGCUGGACCGUGUACAAGUCUCCUGGAAUGGAGCGUCAUAGAGGGUGAGAAUCCCGUCUUUGACACGGACUGCCAGGGCUUUGUGAUGUGCUCUCAAAGAGUCGAGUUGUUUGGGAAUGCAGCUCAAAAUGGGUGGUAAAUUCCAUCUAAAGCUAAAUAUUGGCGAGAGACCGAUAGCGAACAAGUACCGUGAGGGAAAGAUGAAAAGAACUUUGGAAAGAGAGUUAAACAGUACGUGAAAUUGCUGAAAGGGAAACGCUUGAAGUCAGUCGCGUUGGCCAGGGAUCAACCUUGCUUUUUUGCUUGGCUUACUUUCUGGUCGAUGGGUCAGCAUCAAUUUUGACUGGUGGAAAAAGUUCAAGGGAAUGUGGCAUCUUCGGAUGUGUUAUAGCCUUUGUUCACAUAUAUCAGUUGGGAUUGAGGAACUCAGCACGCCGCAAGGCCGGGUUUUUAACCACGUACGUGCUUAGGAUGCUGGCAUAAUGGCUUUAAUCGACCCGUCUUGAAACACGGACCAAGGAGUCUAACAUGCCUGCGAGUGUUUGGGUGAAAAACCCGAGCGCGUAAUGAAAGUGAAAGUUGAGAUCCCUGUCGUGGGGAGCAUUGACGCCCGGAUCUGACCUUUUGUGACGAUUCUGCGGUAGAGCAUGUAUGUUGGGACCCGAAAGAUGGUGAACUAUGCCUGAAUAGGGUGAAGCCAGAGGAAACUCUGGUGAAGGCUCGUAGCGAUUCUGACGUGCAAAUCGAUCGUCAAAUUUGGGUAUAGGGGCGAAAGACUAAUCGACC